AUUGAACGCUGGCGGCAGGCUUAACACAUGCAAGUCGAGCGGAGUGAUGGUGCUUGCACUAUCACUUAGCGGCGGACGGGUGAGUAAUGCUUAGGAAUCUGCCUAUUAGUGGGGGACAACAUCUCGAAAGGGAUGCUAAUACCGCAUACGUCCUACGGGAGAAAGCAGGGGAUCACUUGUGACCUUGCGCUAAUAGACGAGCCUAAGUCGGAUUAGCUAGUUGGUGGGGUAAAGGCCAACCAAGGCGACGAUCUGUAGCGGGGCUGAGAGGAUGAUCCGCGACACUGGGACUGAGACACGGCCCAGACUCCUACGGGAGGCAGCAGUGGGGAAUAUUGGACAAUGGGGGGAACCCUGAUCCAGCCAUGCCGCGUGUGUGAAGAAGGCCUUAUGGUUGUAAAGCACUUUAAGCGAGGAGGAGGCUCUUUUGGUUAAUACCCAAGAUGAGUGGACGUUACUCGCAGAAUAAGCACCGGCUAACUCUGUGCCAGCAGCCGCCGUAA
RNAcentral lists this ribosomal RNA (503 nucleotides) under uncultured bacterium. RNAcentral's name for it is "partial 16S ribosomal RNA". It matches the Rfam family "Bacterial small subunit ribosomal RNA", at positions 30 to 523 of the family's 1533-position model. The record is from RNAcentral.